This 516-nucleotide long non-coding RNA is filed under the name Ananas comosus (pineapple). Its description in RNAcentral is "long non-coding RNA (ACOM_LNC000591)". Lineage: Eukaryota; Viridiplantae; Streptophyta; Magnoliopsida; Poales; Bromeliaceae. The record is from RNAcentral.
CAUUUUCGUUUGAAAACACAACGGAAAUAGCUAGAAUUUUUUUUUAAAAGACCUGACCCCAGGGUAUGUCAGAUCCGCCACAAAUACAGAGAGUUCACUGAUCACACGGACAGAGUCUCCCCUGUAUUUGCACAGCGUCGCACAAGUACAACAAGUAAACAACCACAAUUAAAUGAUUAUAAAAAUAACUAUACAAUCAUUCAUUCACCAUUCACAUCACAGUUAUAUAUUCAAUAUUUAAAUAUGAAUCUACAUCUAUCAGUUAAAACGUUUCCAACCCAGAAACAGGUUUUGAAAUACUAAGAUACAAAAUCCACAGAAAACCUUUUUAAAAACUGUUCACUACACGGAAACUUUUAUCUUUUGAAAAUGCUACCACGAGGGGUAGAAAACCAUUCAACAUUUGAAAUCCACAAAUCCUUUUUAUUACAUCAUAAAUCCAACAGAAAUCUCAGAUAUUCAAAUAAUAUAACAAAACUGAACCAUAAUAUGUCUAAGUAAUUUAUCAGGCAUGAA